Molecule: transfer RNA, 72 nt
Filed under: Ovis aries (sheep)
Lineage: Eukaryota; Metazoa; Chordata; Mammalia; Artiodactyla; Bovidae
Rfam family: tRNA
About the family: Transfer RNA (tRNA) molecules are approximately 80 nucleotides in length. Their secondary structure includes four short double-helical elements and three loops (D, anti-codon, and T loops).
Source: Rfam by way of RNAcentral
UCCCUGGUGGCUCAGAUGGUAGAGAAUCUGCCUGGAAUGCAGGAGACCCAGGUUUGAUCCCUGGGUUGGGAA